UGGGGGAGGCCAAUGAGAGCUCAGGCUCUGGGCCAGCACAUUUAGGGCGGUCACUCCACUGCAAACCGCACCUUGGCUCACACUGGGGCAGGCUCAAGGGGGGAGGAUCCGUACAGGUCAUUCCUGUGCUGGUGUCUUAGGGUGUGGGACGUCUACUGGAGUGAUCACACACAGGAGGAAGGCUUUCCCAGAAACAAUGCAGGGCCUGGCUGCCUGGUAAGCCACUCAAUACCAAAUCAGAAACUCUGCUAACUCUUGAGGUCCGCAAGCAGGCGCUCCACGCCCUUGGAAAGGCCACCUCCCGGGACCCUAGGUCUCGGGAAGGACUGAAAACGCCACAAGGCCACAAUCAAACUUUUCGAGCUGCUGAAAGAGGAUGACAUGAAUUGUGUGGAGAUGAUGUAAGUGGAAGAAAGGAGAACAAUCUGACAAGGGCGGAAGAGAAGGAGAAACAGUAGAUGAGCUGACCGUCCUCAGAAUAAAGCAUACAGUGGCUCACUCCUGUAAGUCCUACACCAAACCAAGCCAAAAUAGUAUUAUUUGGGCUGUAUAUGCCUUCCUGACUCCAAAGUUUCACAACAAAUAAAAUAACCCCAAAACAA
This is a long non-coding RNA of Mesocricetus auratus (golden hamster), 602 nucleotides long. RefSeq lists it as uncharacterized. Lineage: Eukaryota; Metazoa; Chordata; Mammalia; Rodentia; Cricetidae. The record is from RefSeq and is a predicted model, not a curated record. The transcript is spliced from 2 exons.